RNAcentral lists this ribosomal RNA (493 nucleotides) under uncultured bacterium. RNAcentral describes it as "partial 16S ribosomal RNA". It matches the Rfam family "Bacterial small subunit ribosomal RNA", at positions 28 to 507 of the family's 1533-position model. The record is from RNAcentral.
GACGAACGCUGGCGGCGUGCCUAAUACAUGCAAGUAGAACGCUGAAGGAGGAGCUUGCUUCUCUGGAUGAGUUGCGAACGGGUGAGUAACGCGUAGGUAACCUGCCUGGUAGCGGGGGAUAACUAUUGGAAACGAUAGCUAAUACCGCAUAAGAGUAGAUGUUGCAUGACAUUUACUUAAAAGGUGCAAUUGCAUCACUACCAGAUGGACCUGCGUUGUAUUAGCUAGUUGGUGAGGUAACGGCUCACCAAGGCAACGAUACAUAGCCGACCUGAGAGGGGGGUCGGCCACGCUGGGACUGAGACACGGCCCCAACUCCUGCGGGAGGCAGCAGUAGGGAAUCUUCGGCAAUGGACGGAAGUCUGACCAAGCAACGCCGCGUGAGUGAAGAAGGUUUUCGGAUCGUAAAGCUCUGUUGUAAGAAAAGAACGAGUGUGAGAGUGGAAAGUUCACUGUGACGGUAUCUUACCAGAAAGGGACGGCUAACUACGUG